Molecule: ribosomal RNA, 397 nt
Filed under: uncultured bacterium
Lineage: Bacteria
Description: partial 16S ribosomal RNA
Rfam family: Bacterial small subunit ribosomal RNA
Source: RNAcentral
AUACGUAGGUGACAAGCGUUAUCCGGAUUUACUGGGCGUAAAGGGCGUGUAGGCGGUCUUGCAAGUCAGAAGUGAAAUUCCCGGGCUUAACUUGGGCGCUGCUUCUGAAACUGCUUUACUUGAGUGCUGGAGAGGAUAGUGGAAUUCCUAGUGUAGCGGUAAAAUGCGCAGAUAUUAGGAGGAACACCGGUGGCGAAGGCGGCUAUCUGGACAGUAACUGACGCUGAGGCGCGAAAGCACGGGGAGCAAACAGGAUUAGAUACCCUGGUAGUCCGUGCCGUAAACGAUGAAUACUAGGUGUAGGGGGUAUCGACUCCCUCUGUGCCGCAGUUAACACAUUAAGUAUUCCACCUGGGGAGUACGGCCGCAGGGUUGAAACUCAAAGGAAUUGACGGGG